GUACGUGAGGGCAAUAGGAGUGCCUUCUGUUGCCCACUGAUGGUUAAGGUUGAUUAGGAUGGUAUGGCUAGCCAGUUGGGUGUCCUCUUCCUCAUUCACUGUUCCAGCUACAUCCCUCCCAAAGCUUUCCACAGAGGUCUACCUUCCCAAGCACAGGGGGACCUGCCUUUAGUAAGGGUGCAUGAGUACUUGUGCUCUCCUAACCUCCAAAUGAGCUCUCAAGAUACUUGAUUUCAUUUCAGACUAAGGAAGGGCAAGUCAAAACCACAAUGGUAUAU
RNAcentral lists this small nuclear RNA (278 nucleotides) under Neotoma lepida (desert woodrat). RNAcentral's name for it is "7SK RNA". It matches the Rfam family "7SK RNA". Rfam says of the family: 7SK was discovered as an abundant small nuclear RNA in the mid-70s but a possible function has only recently been suggested. Two independent studies have found that 7SK RNA binds the CDK9/cyclin T complex (known as elongation factor P-TEFb). Lineage: Eukaryota; Metazoa; Chordata; Mammalia; Rodentia; Cricetidae. The record is from Rfam by way of RNAcentral.